UUGGCGGCGGGGGGACGCGGUGGCGGGGUGGGGCGGCGCGUCCGGCUGUCGGGGACGCUUUCCUGGCCGGGGCGCCGUGUGGAGGCGCGCUGUGCCUCGAGGCCCGGCUGGCGGGGCCCGCCAUGAGGCGCCUGGGUUCCGUGCAGCGGAAAAUGCCGUGCGUGUUUGUGACGGAGGUGAAGGAGGAGCCCUCCGGUAAGAGGGAGCAGCAGCCAUUUAAAGUUUUGGCAACUGAAACUCUAAGUCACAAGGCAUUAGAUGCAGAUAUAUACAGUGCAAUUCCAACAGAAAAAGUGGAUGGAACAUGUUGUUAUAUUACUACCUACAAAGGUCAGCCAUAUCUUUGGGCUCGGCUAGAUAGAAAACCUAACAAAUUAGCUGAGAAAAGAUUUAAAAAUUUUCUACAUUCAAAACAAAACUCAAAAGAAUUUUUUUGGAAUGUUGAGGAAGACUUCAAACCUGUUCCAGAGUGCUGGAUACCAGCGAAGGAAAUAGAACAAUUAAACGGGAAUCCAAUGCCUGAUGAAAACGGACACAUUCCUGGUUGGGUACCAGUGGAAAAAAACAACAAACAGUAUUGCUGGCAUUCCUCAGUAGUUAAUUAUGAAUUUGAAAUUGCCCUGGUACUGAAGCAUCAUCCUGAUGAUCCUGGUCUUUUGGAAAUUAGUGCAGUGCCUCUCUCAGAUCUCCUAGAACAAACACUAGAGCUUAUAGGAACAAAUAUUAAUGGAAACCCAUAUGGGUUAGGAAGCAAGAAGCAUCCAUUACAUCUUCUUAUACCACAUGGGGCAUUUCAGAUAAGAAAUCUACCCACCUUGAAGCACAAUGAUCUAUUAUCCUGGUUUGAAGGUUGCAGAGAGGGUAAAAUUGAAGGAAUAGUAUGGCAUUGCAAUGACGGCUGUUUAAUCAAGGUUCAUCGCCAUCAUCUUGGUUUAUGCUGGCCAAUUCCAGAUACUUACAUGAAUUCAAAACCAGUUGUUAUCAACAUGAAUCUGAACAACUGACUUUUAGCUAAUCUAGAACACAAUGAUUAUGAGUUCAACCAAAACCACAAAAACCAGUCAUUGAUUUAUGAAAUACAUGGGUAUUUCUUUUGAACUAUGUGAUGUAAAUUGCUGAGAACUUGCUAAUAAUUCAUAAAGGUAAAGAGUUCUUCAUUUACUCUGACUUGCAAUGCUACCUUCUCAAACUGAGAUCACUGAAUGAAAAUUCUUCAUGAUUCUUAAAAGUCUGACCUGAUGUCAUUGUUAAGUUUUCCUUUUGGAGGAAUCUCAUGAGAGUAUUCCACACAGAACCCUGUAACAACAAUCUUCUCUGUGCCUUUGGUCUUGGAUUCAUAGUGUAUGCUCAACUGACGUCCGAGGACUUGGGUGACUGGAAUAUCUAAAUGGAAAGGAUAAAGAAAAAAAGAUAAAUGCUAUUUGAUUUUACCUGGGGGCAAACAUGUCUUAGUCUGUACAUUGUAAACUGACCCAAAAGUCGUGUGUCAUAAGAGAGAUCAUAAACUACAGACUUAGACUGGUCUUUAUAUCCUGCUUCUGCAUCGCUAGAGAUGUUACUCAUGCUCCAAGCUUCCGUGUAAAAUAGAAAUAAUACUCUGCAAAAUGCUAUGAAAAUUAUACCUCAGCACAACAUAGACACAACUUUUCAUUAUAAAGUAUUUGUCAUGUGUGGCAAAGAGAUGACCAAAGAAUGUCACACAGUACGGUAACACAUUUUUACUGAUAGUAUUUACUGUAGUAAAAGUUUGUGAUGAGAUUUCAGAGCAUCCUGAAUUAGAAAUCUCUAAGGCAAAAUGAACACCUCUAAAGAGCCUGAUUUUCAUCACCCUGUUAGCUAAUUCUUUUUACAUGAGUAGUAGUGGUACAACAGUGAGUACUAUAAUGAAUUGGGAAAUGUAUACCAUUAAUUUUUGGAGGAACUAGUCAAAUAUUAGAGCUUAAGAUGAGUAUCAUGAAUAGUUAAAAAAAUUUUUUUAACAAAUCCUACACAAUUUAUUUCCAUUUGUACCAUCUAUGCACACUACCUGGUAUCAGAAAAUUCAGCUAACAAACACACACGGGGCUACCAUAGACUCACACCUGGGACACUUCAUUUCUUGGCUGGACUGGUACAUCGGUUUCACAGUUUGCCUGUGCAUCUUCCUCAGCACACGGAUCCAGUGCAGCAGCAACUGUGGCAUAACCAGGGUCCUCUCUGGUAGAUUCUUCUGGAUCCAAGUGGUUCCUGUGACUCAAAUCUUCAGCCUUGUAGCCCUUCCCUUCAUCAUUCUGGCCUACCUCAUUCUCGUCAUUGUUUUUAUGUUCCUGUUUAUUAUUUUCACAACAGUCUUGACUAAUGUUCUCAAUUUCAGGAUCUGGUUCAUUUUCGAAAAUGAACUUAACAUCUGCCAAGAUACCAUUAGUUGACCUAAAUGGACUUGGCUUGCUUUUUGGUCUUGUCUCAGAUUUAUUGAACUCUGCAGGAUCUACAAUAUCUUCUGUUGUGUGUUUUUCUUUAUUACUGUAAUACCAUAGAAUAUUUUUAGGUACCUGAUGGUAUAAGUUGUCACUGGCAUCUAUUCCCUUCCCAUUUUUAAUUCUGAAAGCUGUUUUGGGUUUUUUUCUGUUCCUGUAUAAAGUGUUCUUUUUGUGAAAAACAUUAUGCCUGUAUUUAUUAACACUGGUAGCAAGGGUAGAAAGUGCAGUUGUGUCACAUAACAGAUUCUGCUUGAAGCAGAAGAAAGAGAAGAAACGUGAAAAGAAGAAGAAAAUAAUAAAAAUAUACACACUACUUGUUUUAAAAUAAGAUACAGCAAACAACUCUAUAUUAAUGAUUUCUUAUAAAGGAAAACUAGAAAUAUAUCACACGUUUGAAUGGAAACAAUGCUAUAACAUAGUUUUCUAAUUUACCCAAUUGUAUGUUCUUGCCACAUCAAAACUGGAAAUGUAACUUCAUUUAAAAUCUCAUUUGUAAUAAAAUUCUUAUGCUUUGCA
Molecule: RNA transcript, 2975 nt
Organism: Canis lupus familiaris (dog)
Lineage: Eukaryota; Metazoa; Chordata; Mammalia; Carnivora; Canidae
Gene: RLIG1
Gene name: chromosome 15 C12orf29 homolog
Exons: 10
Source: RefSeq, a predicted model, not a curated record